UACGUAGGCAGCAAGCGUUGUUCGGAGUUACUGGGCGUAAAGGGUGUGUAGGCGGUUGCUUAAGUUUGGUGUGAAAUCUCCCGGCUCAACCGGGAGGGUGCGCCGAAUACUGAGUGACUAGAGUGCGGGAGAGGAAAGUGGAAUUCCUGGUGUAGCGGUGAAAUGCGUAGAUAUCAGGAGGAACACCGGUGGUGUAGACGGCUUUCUGGACCGUAACUGACGCUGAGACACGAAAGCGUGGGGAGCGAACAGG
RNAcentral lists this ribosomal RNA (253 nucleotides) under uncultured bacterium. Its description in RNAcentral is "partial 16S ribosomal RNA". It matches the Rfam family "Bacterial small subunit ribosomal RNA", at positions 524 to 776 of the family's 1533-position model. The record is from RNAcentral.